UGACAAGUCGAGCAGAGACGAAAGUCGGCCAUAGUGAUCCGGUGGUCCCAAGUGGGAGGGCCAUCGCUCAACGGAUAAAAGGUACUCUGGGGAUAACAGGCUGAUGAUGCCCAAGAGUCCAUAUCGACGGCAUCGUUUGGCACCUCGAUGUCGGCUCAUCUCAUCCUGGGGCUGGAGCAGGUCCCAAGGGUAUGGCUGUUCGCCAUUUAAAGAGGUACGUGAGCUGGGUUUAGAACGUCGUGAGACAGUUCGGUCCCUAUCUGCCGUGGGUGUAGGAGACUUGAGAAGAGUUGCCCCUAGUACGAGAGGACCGGGGUGAACGAACCACUGGUGGACCAGUUAUCGUGCCAACGGUAGUGCUGGGUAGCUAUGUUCGGACAGGAUAACCGCUGAAGGCAUCUAAGCGGGAAGCCCCCUUCAAAACAAGGUCUCCCUUGAGAGCCGUGGAAGACCACCACGUCGAUAGGCCGGAGGUGUAAGUGCAGCAAUGCAUUCAGCUGACCGGUACUAAUUGCUCGAUAGGCUUGAUUUGAUCCAG
RNAcentral lists this ribosomal RNA (538 nucleotides) under Alicycliphilus sp. RNAcentral's name for it is "partial 23S ribosomal RNA". It matches the Rfam family "Bacterial large subunit ribosomal RNA", at positions 2382 to 2925 of the family's 2925-position model. Lineage: Bacteria; Pseudomonadati; Pseudomonadota; Betaproteobacteria; Burkholderiales; Comamonadaceae. The record is from RNAcentral.